RNAcentral lists this ribosomal RNA (254 nucleotides) under uncultured bacterium. RNAcentral describes it as "partial 16S ribosomal RNA". It matches the Rfam family "Bacterial small subunit ribosomal RNA", at positions 524 to 776 of the family's 1533-position model. The record is from RNAcentral.
UACGGGGGGAGCAAGCGUUGUUCGGAUUUACUGGGCGUAAAGGGCGCGUAGGCGGUCAGCACAAGUCAGUUGUGAAAUCCCCGGGCCUAACCUGGGAACCGCAUUUGUGACUGCAUAGCUAGAGUCCGUCAGAGGGGGGUGGAAUUCCACGUGUAGCAGUGAAAUGCGUAGAGAUGUGGAGGAACACCGAUGGCGAAGGCAGCCCCCUGGGAUGAGACUGACGCUCAUGUACGAAAGCGUGGGGAGCAAACAGG